UAUUUUUUUUAAAUCCAUUGUAAAUAUUUUAAAACCUUUUUCAAAUUCCUUGUAAAUCGUUUAAACCCUUUUAAAAUCUCUUGUAAAUCUUUUAAAAUCCUUUGUAAAUAUUUUAAAACCAUUUUAAAAUUCCUUGUAAAUCUUUUAAAACCCUUUUAAAAUCCCUUGUAAAUCUAUUUCCCGCAAAAAAAUUUUACAAGGAUUUUUAAAAGAAUUUGUUUGGCUGAGAAAAAAUUUGUUACGAAUAAAAAAUUUGGCGGGAUAUGUUUUUUUGGCGGGAAAAAAGUUUGGCGGAAAUUUUUGUUUGGCGGGAAAAUUUCAGUUUCCAAUUACAUAUUCCUAUUAGAUGAGGGUAAUUUGGUCAUUGUGUUCAGGGAAAGGGAUAUUUUUAAAAAUGGAAAAGAUAAAAGGGUAUUGUUGCAAGGGAAAUUUGCAAGAAUAACUAACAAAAACUUAUAAAUUAAGAAAGUAACACAAGACAAAAAAACUGCUAUACUCUCUAUAUUAUAUAUAAUAAUAACAUAUUUAUCCUUUUCUCUCCACCUCAUUCUAAAUCUCUCCUUCUCUCCUCUCUCUCUCAUCUCUUUUUCUUUCUUCUCUCAAUCUCUUCUCUUUUUCUUUUUUUCUGUAUCACAUAACAAACAAAUGAAAAGGACGAAGUAGAUUUUUCAGAUACCACUUAUGUUAUCUGGUUGCUUGGGUUGCCAAGGUUGUAUCUUAGGGUAUAGUUUUUCUAUACAUCCAAAAUAGUAUAGUACAACAUUUUAUUUCUAUCCAAAAUAGUACAUGUUUUUACUUACAAACACUAUUUACUAUUUUAUAAAUUCAAAUCCGAUUUUAAAAAUUCAAACUAUUUUGUAUGUAGAAUUUUUUCUAAUAAAUUUUAUAACUGGAAUCUAUUUUUUAGAAAAAAUACUAGCAAAAAAA
This 927-nucleotide small RNA is filed under the name Arabidopsis thaliana (thale cress). RNAcentral's name for it is "ATSL157130". Lineage: Eukaryota; Viridiplantae; Streptophyta; Magnoliopsida; Brassicales; Brassicaceae. The record is from RNAcentral.